Cygnus olor (mute swan) is the source of this 259-nucleotide long non-coding RNA. RefSeq lists it as uncharacterized. The record is from RefSeq and is a predicted model, not a curated record. NCBI's taxonomy places the organism in Eukaryota, Metazoa, Chordata, Aves, Anseriformes, Anatidae. The transcript has 3 exons.
UGUGAGGACUGGUUCAGUAAUCACUGGAAAGGUGAACCCACUGACAAACUAUUCAGAAAUGAACUGGUCCUUUCCAUGGAUUAUACAAUUUCUGGACUCUUGAGACAAUGGAUAGAAGUGAUGGGGGGUAUUUUGCUAAUGCCUGGACAAUCUGAUAACAUCACCGAAGGUGUCUUCUCAUCUUCACACAUCCAGGAAACACAAAUCUCUCUUGCUUUGCUGACAACUGAAAUAAGGUCAAAACUAGAAAUUCUUCAAG